UGGGGGAUAUUGCACAAUGGGCGAAAGCCUGAUGCAGCGACGCCGCGUGGGGGAUGAAGGCUUUCGGGUUGUAAACCUCUUUCGCUAUCGAACAAGGCCCGCUUAGGGUGGGUUGAGGGUAGGUGGAGAAGCAGCGCCGGCUAACUACGUGCAAGCAGCCGCGGUAAUACGUAGGGCGCGAGCGUUGUCCGGAAUUAUCGGGCGUAAAGGGCUUGUAGGCGGCUUGUUGCGCCUGCUGUGAAAACGCGGGGCUUAACUUCGCGCGUGCAGUGGGUACGGGCAGGCUUGAGUGGGGUAGGGGGGACUGGAAUUCCAGGUGUAGCGGUGGAAUGCGCAGAUAUCUGGAGGAACACCGAUGGCGAAGGCAGGUCACUGGGCCAUUACUGACGCUGAGGGGCGAAAGCAUGGGUAGCGAACAGG
RNAcentral lists this ribosomal RNA (420 nucleotides) under bacterium. Its description in RNAcentral is "partial 16S ribosomal RNA". It matches the Rfam family "Bacterial small subunit ribosomal RNA", at positions 355 to 776 of the family's 1533-position model. The record is from RNAcentral.